UAGUUUAGUCUGCAAGACAAAUUACCAUAGAUUGAGUGGUGUAAGUAACAGAAACCCAUUUCUCAUAGUUCUGGUGACUGGUAAAUCCAAGAUCCAGUGUCUGAAUAGGACCCACUUCCUGGUUUGCAAAUGGCCAUUUUUUGCUGUGUCCUAUGAUGGCAGAGAGCAGGAAGAAGGGAAGCAAGCCCUCUCUAAUCCAUCAAAAUGGCCCUUUCCUAUCAUCAAAUUUCCUCCCAAAGGCUCCACUUCUAAUAUCAUCACAUUGAGGGUCAGGGUUUCAACACGUCAGUUCUGGGGGAACACAAACACACAGUCCAUAACACUAUCAUGAGUUCAAAACAAACUGUAAGGUCACAUUUGAUGUGUUUUAUCAAGAUGUCUUUUCGCAGAACUAUAAAAUAUUUUGUAUAUAAUUGUUGAAUCUUUUCUAAGAAUGUCAUCACCAUCAACAUAUUUGAAGUCAUGUCCCCUAAUGCUGAAUACAAAUAGAGUCCUAUGUGGCUUCUGUCAUUUGGGAGUCAAAAUUCUGUCUUAUAUAUAUUAUUUUUUCCAACCAUGUUAGUGCCAUUCUCAAAGACUUGCCUUGACGAUUGAAAAAAAUUAUUAAUAUAAAACUAAAAUUGUUUUAAUAUUUGGAGAUUUAAGUCAAGUAUGUUAGUAUUGUUAUAAACACAAAAAAUAUUUGCUAUUCUACCCUUUGAUUUCCAUGUAGUUGCCCAUGUAAAUGAAAUGGCAUCUAAGAAGUGCUGUCCACCCAGGCACUCCUGCAGCUGCUGAAGAGUUUGCUUGAUGGCUCACAAGAGUCUCUCCAUAGGAAUCGUUCCCUGCUGAAGGGAGCUGCCUCACCCCUGGUCAUGCUGUUCUCCCUGGGAGCAGCAUCUGUCCAAUAACUUGUCAAUCUGGAGGUGCUACCAUUGGGACAAUUCAGAAGUGCAAUCAAUACCUGCUCCAUAACUUUCAAUAGUAUUAAUGAAGUCUUCUUUUUUUAACUACAACUGCAUCAGAGUUCAUUUUUUUUUCUUUCUUAAAUUCUGCUUCCCUUGCUGUCCCUCUCUGCUGAGUAUAUUCCUCUAUAAAAAUGAUUGAAUUUCAGAAUCUCAGCCUGGCAUGACCUUCUCACAAGUGCACAUGUAUACAGAGCACACUGAGUACCCAGUCUUCUUAGGGCUUGAGAAAGAGCGUCUUGACCAACUAUUUCUGACACUUUGCUACAAUGUAUAUUGGAUGGGAAGGAGUGGACUAUGGAGGAUUUGUUUUCUGCAAAGCAAGAUUUAUUCUUCUCUUUAUGCAAAAUGCACAGGGAUGCCAAAACAAAUCAUUAGAGCUUGCACUAUAUUCCUUCCAUAAGUGGCCAUAUAUAGACAAAUCUGUUGACUCUUUCCUACAAGUAACAGGUUCUAUGAGUGUCUUUGUUUACACUGAUAAAUAGUGCCCAAAGGUAAAAGGAAUUUUUACUACUUACAUAACCCUAUUAUAUUAUCUACUGACAUGUAACAAACUAUCCUAAACUUACUUGCAGAAGACAAUAGAUGAUGGUGAUGAUGAUGAUGAUGAUUUCCUCUUACAGUUCUAGGGUUGACUGGGUUUAUCAUGUUGGCUGCCAACUAGGAUUUUAAGGGAUGCUGUAAGUUGGAGGCUGUUGGCCCAUGCAGGACUGUUGGCCCAUGUAUCCUGGGCUUCACAACAGUGGAGCAGCAGGGUUUUCAAGGGUCCCUUAAAAGAGCAAGGCAGAAGCUGUUUGCCUUUGAAGUCAGAAG
RNAcentral lists this long non-coding RNA (1757 nucleotides) under Marmota monax (woodchuck). The record is from RNAcentral. Lineage: Eukaryota; Metazoa; Chordata; Mammalia; Rodentia; Sciuridae.